Molecule: long non-coding RNA, 14833 nt
Filed under: Capsicum annuum
Lineage: Eukaryota; Viridiplantae; Streptophyta; Magnoliopsida; Solanales; Solanaceae
Description: long non-coding RNA (CANN_LNC012186)
Source: RNAcentral
CUAGGCUUACUAUGCAUCAGUUACACGUUACAAUACAAACCUCCCUGCCUUCUUCAAGUUUCACAAGAUAAAACCUCACUUUUCACCUUCAGUUUUUCAUAUGAUAUCCAUAAAUAAACAUCCUUAUUCCUCCUUUAAAACUCAAAUCUCAAGAAUCUGAUGAAAUUCAUUCAAGAAAACAAGAAUAAUCCCUUCUCCAGAUCUCAACAUCUUCAAACGUUUUGAGGUAUGUAGAACCAUCUUUUACUCACGUUUCAUGAUGUUUUCUUAUUCUCCAAAUCUGUUUUGUAAUCUCCAUUCCAAACAGAUGGUGUAUAGAUGUUUGAAUUCAGAAGUUAGAUUAAAAACAAAUCAACCUGUCAAGUUCUAUUUCAAUUUCCUCUUGGCGUCUUAACAAGUGCUUAUGUAUUCAUAACGUAUGGACUGGUUUUGGCUAAAUCUGGAACCUGAAUCUUAUCCAGUCAGUAACAUGGUGGUCUCAAUAAUCUUCAAUAAGUAUUUUCUAUUUCUAAAUUUCUUAAAAGAUGUUAGGAUUAAUUAAUAUAAAGAACGUCCCUUUUAUCUCUAAAAUUGAUGUCCGAUCCAGUUCGACUUUAUGUUGGCAUAUGCUGAAAUUCUUCAAAUUUAACAAGUAGGAAGGACUGCCAUUUCUUUGGAAUUCUUGAACUUCCGAAAUAAACAAUUUAUUACCACAAACUUCAUAACCUUGGCUAAUUUUGGUAACCAAAAUUGUGAGUGGCUAAAGAAUGGAAACUCUAUCUUCUAAAAUCUUAGUAUGAAUUGCCUAGUUUACUCUUCGACUGUCAUGUUGCGGUUCGUUUUGUGUGAUGACAAUCCUCUUUAGGCUUUUAGAUCUGCAGCUUUGUAACUCAAUUCUCAAAUUUCCAGAAAAAUGAGUUCUUGUGGUCCUCUUUGGGAUAUGAAAAUCUAUCACUGAAACAGUUCUGAACCGUAUUGAUAACUAUGAGAUAAACUCUACUUCUCCUUCCCUCCACACGCUAUCUGGUCUGAUGUUGUUUGACUUGACAUGUAGAUUAAGAACCUGGGGUUUGUCUAGAUUAAGAAUCUUCCCUUGCUUGCCUAGGAAAUUUUGAGAAAAUCUGCAAACUCAAAUCUGCCAAUAGCGUCAAAAAUCAAUGUCUGUCAUAUUUCUGCAGUAUACUUCCCUUCUGUAAAUGUAUUUUAGCCAAGUACUAUAGAGUUGUGAGACAUUAAUUAUAUCCUUAAUAUUUAUAAUAAUGUUUCACAGAAUUUUCCUGAUGUUAGUUAGGAUCUUAAUCACUUUUUUAAAAGUUUGCUUCCGAACAAAUUUGGCUUAUCCCAACUAUUACACUAUGUGUAAUUGCUUUCCUUCCAGUUAACUCCUAACGAUAAUCUCUCAAGAGUCGUGAAAGUCAUGUUCAUGAACCAUUAACAGAACGUUUUUUUGUUACUGUCCAGUAUACUAUGAAAAGGGAUCAAAUAAAAAUAUUAUGAACCCAAAGUGGUUGAAUUCCUAGCAUGAGCCCAAAAAGGUCUAAAUUAUGUACAUGAGCCUAAAACAGCUAAACUAUGAAUAUGAGCCUAAAACGGAUAAACUAUGAACAUGAGCGUAAUGAGGGUAACACUUUGAACAUAAAUAAGUAAGACAACGCCAUAGGCAUAAGGGAGUUAGUUAGCUGACCGUGAAGGCAUAGGUUUAAACAACAAAUGCCCGAAACUAUAUUUGCUAACAUAGGAUAGAGAUUAUUCCGCAAGUCGGAUGACUCUUUUUUUUCAUGUGUCCCGAAAAGGGUCUAACCAUGGGUAAUUGAUAGUAAAUCAUUUCAUGUCACGUCCUAUGCCCGGCAAGGUAUAGGACGGCUUAGCUAGUCGGGUCGAGAUCAGACUCCAUGCGCUCACAUGGUGGUUUAUGACGGUUCACUACUUUCUCCCACAAAUAAUCAAAGGAAUUUAAAUCUACUUUAUAUUCUCAAUUAUAAAUUUAGUUUACAUUCUUGUUCCUUUCUAGAUGCCUUCACUUAUAUUUGAUUCUUAUUGUUACUUCUAAUCUUUUGUUGUACUACCCUUCUGCAAUGGUUUAACAUACCAAUACAUUCCACGUAUUGGCCGUCUUUCGUGCUACAUCGUUUCAUGGUGUAGGUUCUGGCUCUCAAGUCCACGAUCAGGCACCUCAUUAGGAUUCCUAACUUCUGUUAUUGGUGAGCCUCUUUCCUAUCAGGAGGCUUGAUGAGAUAUGAUGAUUUUUUGUAUUUUCUUUCCUUUCAGUAUUAGUACUUAUUAGAGGUUUCACAGGUUGGUGUAGUUGUCAAGCAAACAUUGUAAUUUUUAGUUUUCAUUUAUAAUAACUAUUGGUAUUGUUGAACAUUAAGGGGUAUUAAUAAACUUGGGUGAUGUUUUAUCUCCUUAGAAAAUAGUAAUUGAAUUCUAUAUUACUUCUGGUUUAUACAUUUGUAUUAGAAGUAUGCUCGGGUGAUAUGCCAGAAAGUUCGCUCGUACUAGCUAUAGUAUCGUGUGCGUGUCACACUCAGGGCCUCAUCUCGGGUCAUGACAAACUUGAUAUCAAAGCACAGAGUUCAAGUGUCCUAGGGUGUCUGUGAAGCCGUGUCUAGUAGAGUCCUUUUUAUGGGUGUGAGGCAUGCCACACAUAUAAUAGGGAGGCUACGAGACAUUUAGGAUACAUUUUCCCUUGUUUCAUAAUGUAGAUCAUAUAAAGAGAUGUUCAUAAGAAUCUUACUCAGAUUCAUGUGUUGCUCAAAUUUCUCCGUCUAUGCCUCGUCCUCGAAGUGAUUCAUAUCUUUAUGAUGCUCUUAGCAAUAUUCGUCAAAAAUCUUCAGGACUGCACAUGGCUAGAUGGGGGCCCACUAGUGUGUUUAAGUUCUUCAUUUUGAAAGAAUGUACUUUUCUACAUAUGAAUCGUGCAUUUGAUGCUACGGUAAUAUGUCCUCUCAAACCCUCUCAUACCUUGUUACCAAUGACACUUUUAAAUGAGAAAGUAUGUAUCCCAAUUCUUUGGGAGUGUUGUCAUCCAAGAUAUAAUCUGAUUUAGGGUGUGGUGGGUCAUAAAUAGUAGAAUGACUGCAGGGCUAGAACUAUGAAGUAGUAAGUUGAAAGACAAAAGUGGGAAUAGUGAAUGAUUGGAGUAUGUUGCUAAGGUCAUGUAUCCAGUAAUCGCGUAAUGUGGUGGAAUGAUGUGUCCUUUGAUGAUUUGAGAAAGGUGUAACAAGACUUGUGUGGAUGUUAUGGUAUUAAAUUGAGCAAUAAUGGUUGAUUGAGAUGAUUUAGAGUAUAUUUGAACUAGGAAAGUAGUUUAUGAUGACAUGGCAUUAUGUUAAAGGCGAUCAAGAAUAGGUUGUGAAUGGGAGCAUAGAGUAGUUAAGAGUUGACAGACCUAGGUUGCACAUUGUGAUUUUGAAAAAGGAAAUCUCUAUUUUACGGAGUUAUGAUUGUAAUUUAGGCAGGUAAUGGAUAAGUGGUAGUGGAAUUAAAGGAUAAUUCACUUGUAAUCCGCAAUUAGGCCGAUGAAGAAAUUAAGAUCGAUUGUUUUUUUUCACGUACUUUCAGUGCACUAGUAUUCGUUUUGAUUUUUUGCAGCUAUGAAUCUGUGUAGUAUGUGAGAAGUUGUGUUGUUGUCCAUGACUAGUAAUAGACACUAUGUUGGAGUUGUGAAUGAUCGUCAUGCUGGAACAAAUGGUAGUUCAGGGGCGAUAAUGCUAGUUUUAUGGAAUUGAUCUAGUAGGCUUUACCUAGUGUAUGCGAGCGUUAUGAUGAUUAGUUUGCAAAAAGUUCUUAUGAUGAUUAGUUUGACAAAAGCGUGAAGUUUCAAUUAUGAUAUAUUUGCGACCCAUAGGUGAGACAGUAAAUUGUGGCUAAGCCAAAAAAAAAAAAAAAGUCCUUAAGGUUUAUAAAGAAAAUAGUGUACCCAAGGUAGUAUGUUGUUACAUGAGAUACUAAGGAUAGGUAUGUAUUAUAUGGUGCCCCUGAGAGCUGAAUUGAAGGGAAUUAUAGAUAGACGAUGUUGAAGUCCCUUAGUGUAGUUUUAAUCCCAAUGAGUUCGAUGAACAUGAAUUUAGAGAUGUGAUUUUAGUAGACUAAUAAGAGUGAGCCAAAUUGGUAAGUGUUGAAGCUAUCAUAUACAUCAAUAGGAGCAUAACUUAUAGAAUGAUGACCGUAGAGUAAAGAGAAAGUUAAGGGAAGUAGCUCAAAACAAAAAGUUCUAGCAUCGGUUUUGUAUCUACAAAUAUAAUCUAACAGGGAAUGUUUAAGCAUUCUUGUGAAUAGUAAUACCCCAACUGUGCAGAGUGUUGUGCUUAUAUCUCAGUUUAAAGAAUAGGUCUGUACCUAGAAUAUAGACCUUUGGGCUAAGGGGGAGAUGAUGUGGUGUUGAAAUAACCCGGGUCUUGAACUUCAGGGAGUGAUAAGUCCCAAAAACAGAUAAGGUGAGGCAUCUAUCCAUUCCUAUAUCAACAUGUUCCUUGUACUUCAGUCAAAAUGACACUCUGCUCCUCUUUUGCAUACUAGCAGCAUACCUCUGACCUAGGUUUAUUCUCUUCAUACUGAUUCACAUCCAUGCUCAGUUCCUAGAAUGAAAGUAAUAGAUUCGCUCAACGAUCCCAGACUUACUCCAUGAAUCCAUGGAUUCCAGUAUGCCCAGACCUAUGAACUCACACUUCUUGAUUUAUUUCGAACUAUUGUUAUGUCUUUAUCUAUCUCUUGAAGGACUAUCCAGUCAUGAUUUAAGUAAUUAGUAUAUGAAGUAUCCGUGCCUAAUACUUACUACGAGGUUAGUCUUGAACAGAACAGGGGAAACAACAUGUUGGUGGACGCAAACUCUAGUAAUCUGUUAAUAUAGAGAUUAUAAGUUGACAAUGAUGGUGUGUGGUAUUCAGAGGAGAAAACAUAGGGAGAAGUGUAUCUAAGCUUAAGGGUUAUCACUCAUAUCGUCUAAGGUGGAAAUUCUCCUCGUACUAUGUCUACAAACCCUUGAUUCUUGUUAUUUAACUUUAGACUGUGUGGAACCUACAUUGAAGCCCAUGUUCCAAUAUAGUUCUUACUGUAUAUGCAUCUUUCGAUUCUACAGACUCGUUCUUCACAUCCUUAGUGUGAUAAUUUUUGUAUUUAUAACUCAUGCUUCUGAAUUCCCUUGUAGUUGGUUGUCAAACCCUUGUCAUUAUUGCUGCUCUGCCAUAUUGAUGAGUACAGUGCAGCAGACGAUGGUCAAUAGUUUCAACUCAUGCACUUUCUUCUAGCCAAGACCAUUCUAGGACGAAUGAAUCCAAGGCGGAGAUAAUGUAACACCCUGAACGUUCGAGCUAAAAAUAAAACAGAUUGGACUGUUCUUCAAAUGUACUUAGACCUGAAUCUAUAUAUUUUAUUGUAUUUAAGUGUAAAGGUCAUGUCUAAAGUGUCGUAGGGGUAUUGGGUAUGAAUUAAGGGCAUAAGAAAGCUCUAAAACAAGUUUGAGUUGAAAGGUUCUUUAAUGAUUAAGUUUUUGUAUAGGUUCAUACAAGGGGCAAAUUCAAGCAAGGAUUUAUCCUAGAAUAUUUAGAGUUACGUCACCCAUUAGCUAUCAAAUUAAAGUUUUUUGAGUCUUCUUUCCAACGCUACCAACAACUCAAUAAUCUGAGACCCAAGUAAAAAGUUACAUAUGUUUUACUAAGAACAAUCAGAACAGCCCUAUACCAAACAAAAAUUUUCUUUCUUUCUUUUCAUAUUCUUGGAGGGGUAAUUUCGUCCUUUCCUUUUUACAUUAACACCAAAUUAUUAAAACCUACUUCUCCAUUAAUUUUAUACGUUAAGACUCCUAGACUUACUAUGCACCAGUUACACGUUACAAUUGAGACCUCCCUGCUUUCUUCAAGUUUUGACAGGAUAAAACCUCACUUUUCCCUAUCAUUUUUUCAUACGAUAUCCAUAAAUAAACAUCCUUAUUCCUCCUUAAAAUCUUAAAUCUCAAUAAUCUGAUGAAAUUCAUUCAAGAAAACAAAUCUAAUCCCUUCUCCAGUUCUUAUUCUCCAAAUCUGUUUUGAAAUCUCCUUUCCAAACAGAUGGUGUAUAGAUGUUUGAAUUCAGAAGUUAGAUUAAAAACAAAUCAACCUGUUAAGUUCUAUUUCUAUUUCCUCUUGGCGUCUUAACAAGUGCUUAUGUAUUCAUAACGUAUGGACUAGUUUUGGCUAAAUCUGGAGCUUGAAUCUUAUCCAGUCAAUAACUUGGUGGUCUCAAUAAUCUUCAAUAAGUAUUUUCUAUUUCUAAAUUUCUUAAAAGAUGUUUGGAUUAAUUAACAUAAAGAACGUUCCCUUUUAUUUCUUAAAUUGAUGUCCGAUCCAGUUCCAAUUUAUGUUGGCAUAUGCUAAAAUUCUUCAAAUUUAACAAGUAGGAAAGACUGCCAUUUCUUUGGAAUUCUUGAACUUCUGAAAUAAACAAUUUAUUACCACAAACUUCAUAUCCUUGGCUAAUUUUGGUAACCAAAAUUGUGAGCGGCUAAAGAAUGGAAACUCUAUGUUCUGAAAUCCUAGUAUGAAUUGUCUAGUUUACUCUUCGACUGUCAUGUUGCGGUUGGUUUCUUGUGAUGACAAUCCUCUUUAUGCUUUUAAAUCUGCAGCUUUGUCACUCAAUUCUCAAAUAUCCAGAAAGUGAAUUCUUGUGGUCCUCUUUAGGAUAUGAAAAUCUAUCACUGAAACUGUUCUGAACCGUAUUGAUAACUAUGAGAUAAGCUCUGCUUCUCCUUCCCUCCACAUGCUAUCUGGUCUGAUGUUGUUUGACUUGACAUGUAGAUUAAGAACCUGGGGUUUGUCUAGAUUAAGAAUCUUCCCUUGCUUGCCUAGGAAAUUUUGAGAAAAUCUGCAAACUCAAAUGUGCCAGUAGCUUCAAAAAUCAAUGUCGGCUAGAUUUCUGCAGUAUACUUCCCUUCUGUAAAUGUAUUUUAGCCAAGUACUAUAUAGAGUUGUGAGACAUUCAUUAUAUCCUUAAUAAUUAUAAUAGUGUUUCACAGAAUUUUCCAGAUGUUAGUUAGGAUCUUAAUCGCUUUUUUAAAAGUUUGCUCCCAAACAGAUUUCUCUUAUCCCAACUGUUACACUAUGUGUAAUUGCUUUCCUUCUAGUUAACUCCUAACGAUAAUCUCUCAAGAGUCGUGAAAGUCAUGUUCAUGAACCAUUAACAGAAUGUUUUUUGUUACUGUCCAGUGUACUAUUAAAAGGUAUCAAAUAAAAAUCAUAUGAACCCAAAGUGGUUGAAUUCCCAGCAUGAGCCCCAAAAGGUCUAAAUUAUGUUCAUGAGCCUAAAACGGCUAAACUAUGAAUAUGAGCCUAAAACGGCUAAAAUAUGAACAUGAGCCUAACGAGGGUAACACUUUGAACAUAAAUAUGUAAGACAAUGCCAUGGGCAUAAGGGAAUUAGUUAGCUGACCGUGAAGGCAUAGGUUUAAACAACAAAUGCCCGAAACUAUGUUUGCCGACAUAGGAUAGAGAUUAUUCCACAAGUCGGAUGACUCUUUUUUUUCAUGUGUCCCAAAACGGGUCUAACCAUGGAUACUUGCUAGCAAAUCAUGUCCUGUCACAUCCUAUGCCCGGCAAGGUAUAGGACAACUUAGCUGGUUGGGUUGAGAUCAGACUCCAUGCGCUCACUUGGUGGUUUAUGACGGUUCACUACUUUCUCCCACAAAUAAUUAAAGGAAUUUAAAUCUACUUUAUAUUGUCAAUUAUAAAUUUAGUUUACAUUCUUGUUCCUUUCCAGAUGCCUCCACUUAUAUUUGAUUCUUAUUGUUACUUCUAGUCUUUUGUUGUACUACCCUUCUGCAAUGGUUUUACAUACGAAUACAUUCCACGUGUUGAUCGUCUUUGGCGCUACAUCAUUUCAUGAUGUAGGUUCUGGCUCUCAAGUCCGUGGUCAGGCACCUCAUUAGGAUUCCUAACUUCUGUUAUUGAUAAGCCUCUUCCUACCAGGAGGCUUGACGAGAUAUGAUGAUUUUUUUGUUUUUUCUUUCCUUUCAGUAUUAGUACUUAUUUGAGGCUUCACAGGAUGGUGUAGUUGUCAACCAAACUUUGUAAUUUUCAGUCUUCAUUUAUAAUAACUAUUGGUAUUUUUGAACAUUAUGCGGUAUUAAUAAACUUGGGUGAAGUUUUAUCUCCUUAGAAAAUCGUAAUUCAAUUCUAUAUUACUUCCACUUUAUACAUUUGUAUUAGAAGUAUGCUUGGGUGAUAUGCCAGAACGUUCGCUCGUACUAGCUAUAGUAUCGUGUGCAUUUCACGUCCAGGGCCUCAGCUCUGAAGGGACGGAUGGACCAGGUCAUUGUGAAGGUGUGGAUUGAUCAGGUCCCUGUGAAAGGGUAGAUUCUGAACUCCUUGGUGUGCUAUUUAUCUUUCUUGGAGCAUUUUUUACCUCUUAGCAUACCUUAUCCAAAAUAACUAGAAAAUCCCUAACAAUCACAAACAAUCGGAAACCUUCAUCCCUCUUAGCAUUUCUGUGGAAAUAAUCACCCGCACUCUUAACAAGAUCCAUUAUUCGCUUUUCUUCCUUAAGCAAUGACAUGACAUCAGGCUCGGCAUUCUGCUCAAACUUCUUAAUGGUCUGGUAAAACCCAUCUUUGUCAUCUAUGCUCUUCAUUUUUGAAUUUAGGAAGUAGCAUGCUUUUAUAAGUGUAACACCCCGUAAAAUCCUUCAUGUGUUAUAUCGUGGUAGUAUGCUUGUUGAGUUAAAAGCUUGAAAAUUUUCUAAGUGUAAAAGGAGACUUAGAAUCAUUGUUAGCUUUCAAUCUUCGGGUAUUUUAUUUUUGACCUUCCAGACCUCUGUUUUCCAAUUUUUAAGUUCCAUUUUUUAGGUUGUGGAGCCUCAUUAAUAUAAAUAGCUUGUCCGCCGGAGGUUACCCACGCGUGUUACCAUGAAGUUACUUCUCUCUCUCUCUCCUCAAGAACUCUCUCUUGUUUUCUUCAUCCUUUCCAUAGAUUUAGUGUGUGUGAACUGCGAAUCGAUCCUAACAACUGGUAUCAAAGCUUGGGAGAUUCAUCAUGAUCACUGAAGAUAGAAGGAUCAAAGUUUGGAAUUGAGUAGUUUGAUGGAGCUGAUUUUGGUUUCUGGAAGAUGCAGAUCUGAUACAAGAAUAAUGGCUGCCUUAGCUUUCGACGACAUCAUUCAAAGUCACUAUGUGAAGAAUCAAAAUUUGAUCACAUAGAGGGCACGAGAUCAUGCUUGAAGGGGACAUUUUGAGCCUACCAUUGAUCAAACCCAAGUGUGGAAGAUUGCUUGAAGCCUUGAAGACUUAAGGACUCUCGGCUUUGGACCACCUUUAUUGGUUCACGGUUUUGGUGCCCUUUAUUAAGGGCAUUUUGGUCAAUUAGCCUUAAGGGAAUUUUGGACAAUUCAUAUUGUUUUCCAACACUCCAAGGCCACCCUUGGUCAUUAAGGGCAGUGUAGUCUUUUUUGCCUUCUUUUGUAAUAUACUAUAAGUAAGAUUUUUUUAGGUCUUCUCUCAUUAGUUUAUGAAAGAUGAAAGAUUGAAACAUUAAAAAUCCUCUCUCUUGAGAGUAGAACACUUAGUCUUAGUUAGGGCUUGGAAAAGCUAGUAUUGAUCUUUGCUUGGAAAUGGUGGAUCUUGAGGUGAGUUGAUUCCCUUGGCGAUCACCAUAAGAGUGUGGUUUUGAUUAUUACAUUCAUUAGGAGUAUUUUGAGUUUAAUACACUCUUUAGUUCUUAAUCUUGUAAUAAUCUUAGUCUCACUAUCUAUCCUUUACUUUUGUUGUUGUCAUCUUGUGUAGUGGUUUAUUUAGGGUCCUUUAUUAAAUCUGAAACUUGUAUUAUUGUUAUUCAUCUUAUUCCUCACGUUUUGUAGCUGUUUUUGGUGUUAUAUACACCAUUGUAUCUUGUAUUCUUCUUGUUGAUAGCGAAUCCAAGAGUGGUCUUCAUCUUGGUCCCGGAUCCUUAUGAUUGGGGACUGAUUCGGAGUAUGUUUUGUGUCUUUCAUUGUCUUUCUCGUAUAAAGAUCGAACACUAACUUUACCAUAAAGAUCUUCACGAACACUUGACCGGGAUUAAGCCAGAGUCCAUGAAGGAGUAGAACUGAAAGCUCAAGGAUCGAUAGGCUCUAGGGCUGAUUCGGUUGACCUUGUCGAGAAACGUGAUAUUCAACAUCAUCAAGGAUAAAACCAUAUAUGAUAUAUUUAAGGAAAUAUCAAAUAUGUACGAAAAGCCAUCUACGAUGAACAAGGUAUAUUUGAUGCGUAGAUUCUUCAAUUUACAGAUGUCUGAGAAUGGAUCUGUUGCUGAUUAUAUAAAUGAGUUCAAUAUAAUUGUUUGUCAACUGUGUUCUAUGGAUAUUAAUUUUGAAGAUGAAAUUAAAGCACUUAUUUUGAUGUCAUCUCUGCUCGAGUCUUGGGAUACUGUUGUUGCUGCGAUUAGCAUUUCUCGUGGGUCUAAGAAACUAAAGUUUGAUGAAAUUCGAGAUGUUGUUCUUAGCGAAAGCAUUCGCAAAUGAGAAAUUGGGGAAUCAUCUGGUAGUGCUCUCAAUGUUGACCGAAGGGGGAGAGACCAAUCGAGGGGUCAAAAUACACAUGACAGAUCAACAUUAAAGAAUCGUGGAAAAUGUCCACAAAAAUCCAAUGUGACAUGUUAGAAUUGUGGAGAAAAAGGACACUUUCGGAUAGAGUGCAAGAAAGCCAAGAAGAAGAAUAAAAAAUUUGGAGAUGGUAAUAAUUCUGUUAAUUCAAUAGAAGACAUUGGGGAUGCUCUAAUCCUUAGUGUAGACAACUCGGUUGAAUCUUGGAUAUUGGAUUUUGGUGCAUCUUUUCAUUCAUCUCCUAGCUAGGAAUUGUUCCAAAACUUCAAGUCUGGAAAUUUUAGAAAUGUGUAUCUUGCUAACAACAAGCCAUUGGCGGUUGAAGGAAAGGGGGAUGUCUGCAUAAAAACUCCAACACAAACCAGUGGACAUUGGAGGAUGUCAGAUAUAUUCCGGUCUCAAGAAGAAUCUGAUCUCUGUUGGUUAGUUGGAUAGCAUAGGCUACACAGCAGAGUUUGGGAAAGGUUCAUGGAAGAUUGUGAAGGGUGCUAUGGUUGUAGCACGUGGCAUAAAAUCUGGAACUUUGUACACCACUGCAGGGUGUAUAAACAUGGAUGUUGUUACUGAGGGUGGUUCCGGUUCAAGUCUGUGGCACAAUAGACUUGGAAAAAUGAGUGCCAAAAGAAUGAAGAAGUUGGCUACAAAAGGAUCUUUAGAGGGGCUGAAAUCUGUUGAUAUUGGUCUUUUGAGAGUUAUAUUAUGGGUAAACAGAAGCGAGUAUGAUUCAUGAACACUGUGAGAGAGCCAAAGCAAGUACGGCAGGAAAUGGUCCAUACUGACGUUUGGGGACCAUCUCCUAUUUCAUCACUUGGUGGAUCCAGAUUCUAUGUCACCUUACAUUGAUGAUUUCAGUAGGAAGCUAUGGGUUUACUUCUUGAAAGAUAAUUUAGAUUUGUUUGCUACUUUCAAGAGAUGGAAAGAUGAAGUUGAAAAUCAGACUGGCUUGAAAAUCAAAGGCAAGGUUCAAGAAACUACAAUGCAAGUGGGAGUUGAGCUUGAGUUGCCGAAGAGUCACCUAAAGAUGUUGCAGCAGAUACUCAACAAACUCCAGAGACUGUCGUUGAGGAACCAGAGGUGGAACAAGUGACAUCUGAGCAGGCUGAGAGGAGAUCAUCCUGGACCAUUAGAGCACUAGAUUGGUAUUCACCAUCAUUACAUUAUCUGUUGCUAACUGAUGAAAGGGAACCAGAGUCUGUUGCUGAGGCCCUGCAGGUAGAGGAUUCAAUAAAGUGGGAGCAAGCCAUGUAUGAUGAGAUGAGCUCACUUAAGAAGAAUAACACGUGGAUAUUGAUUGAGUUACCUGCAAAGGAGAGAGCCUUGUUGAACAAGUGGGUGUUCAGAAUCAAGGCAGAACCAGAUGGCAAAAGAAGGUUCAAGGCUCGGUUGGUAGUUAAAGGAUAUUCACAAAGGAAAUGUAUUGAUUAUGCUGAAAUAUUUUCUCCUAUUGUGAAGUUAACUACUAUCCGAAUUUUAUUGAGCAUUGUUGCAUCGGAGAAUUUGAAUCUUGAGCAGAUGGAUGUAAAGACUGCGUUUUUACAUGGAGAUUUGGACAAGGAAAUCUAUACGCAGUAGCCAGAGGGGUUUGUAUUUCCAAGCAAGGAACACAUGGUGUGCAAGCUCAACAGGAUCUUGUAUGGGCUGAAGCAAGCACCUAGACAGUGGUACAAGAAGUUUUACUCCUUUAUGAGCAAGAUAGGCUUCCAGAGGAGUGAAAAAGAUCAGUGUUGCUACUUUAAGAAAUACACUGAUUCUUUUGUAUUUGUACUCUUGUAUGUGGAUGAUAUGUUUAUUACAAGAUCCAGUAUGAAGGAGAUAAAAUAUCUGAAGACAAGCCUGUCUUUUGAGUUUGAGAUGAAAGAUUUAGGUGCAGCAGAGCAGAUUCUUGGGAUGAGGAUUUCUCGGGAUAGAUCUGUUGGUACUUUGCAUCUAUCCCAAGAGCAGUAUGUCGAGAAGGUGAUGGACAAAUUUAGAGUUAAUGAUGCUAAACCCAGGACUACUCUGUUGGCAAAUCACAUAAAAUUAUCAAAGGAGCAGUCACAGAAGACAGCUCAGGAGCGGGAACAUAUGGCACUUGUUCUGUAUGCUUCUGCAGUUCGGAGUCUGAUGUAUGCUAUGGUCUGCACUAGACCUGACAUAGCAAAUGCAGUGGGAGUUGUUAGCAGGUACAUGGCAAACUCCAGAAAAAAGCAUUGGUAAGGUGUGAAGUGGCUUCUAAGAUAUCUGAAAGCGACAUCCAGUACUUCACUUUGUUUUGGCAAUGGUGAAGUGAUUAUGCAAGGUUUUUUUUAUACUGAUCUUGGUGGAGAUGUGUACUUAAGCAUGACCACUUCCAGAUACAUUUACACCAUAGGUGUUACAACAGAGAGUUGGAUGUCCAGGCUUCAGAAGUACGUCGCUCUUUUAUCUACUGAGGCUGUGUAUGUGGCAAUAGUUGAAGUUGGAAAGGAGAUGAUAUGGCUGACAAAUUAUCUGGAAGUAGUGGGCAAGAACAAACUUAAGAAUAUUCUUUACAUAGAUAGCUAGAGUUCCAUGCACUUGGUGAAGAACCCGGUCUAUCAUUUGAAGAUGAAGCACAUUAGAAGACGGUAUCAUUUCACUCCUAGGGCAGUGAAAAAAGGUGAUAUGUGUUUGGAAAAGAUAGAGGGUGCAAAGAAUCCAGUAAACAUGUUGACUAAAUAUGUUGAUGUUGGUAAACUAAGGUUGUGCAAAACCUUAGUUGGCUUUCUAUAGUUGGGUCUAAAGAUGUUGCGGUGUAGCGAACAUGUUGAUGGUGGAGGAAUAUUUUUUAUUUUUUUUAGAAUGUAAUUCUUGGAUGAAUGAAUCAGUCUCUAAGUGGGAGAAUUGCUAGGUUGUGGAGCCUGAUUAAUGUGUGACGUACUGUUAUAGAAUUAAUAGAUCCAACAAACAAUAGAAUUAAAUCAAUUAUAAAACAUAAAUCCAACUAAUAACAUAAAUUAGAUCAAUUAAGAAUAUAAGGAAAAUUGUUGGCAUAGCAAUUCAUAUUGUGUUUAAUUCAUUAAUAAGCAAGCAAAUGAAUUGAAUCAUUUUCAAAUACUGAAGAAAAAGGAAAGUGUCCCAUGUCCGAAUCAUAUGAAUUGAAGCUUGUUAAUGUGCCAACAUUUUCCAAUAUCGAACAAGGAUGAACAUUAGAAAAUGAAUUGAAAAUCCAAGAUGACUAUGACUAUAAUCAAGAUUUAGCAAUCUUGAAGUCUAUCUAUCAUUACCACUCUAAUCAUGGGGUAGUUCCAUAUCCUCCUUAUUCAGAGAAAUUUAAUGAUUUCAUCAAAACUUCAAUUCCCAACUUGAAAUGUCUUGGCAAAGCAUUGGGAACUAAGAUCAUUACAUUAGAGAAACAUUUCUUAACUGUUAUGAAUAUGGCAACACGUACGGGAUAUUACCCUGAGAUAAUCCACCCUGUUUCUCAGAAAAUCUUCUUGUGUAUGGCUUUAUGGGAUUAAUUUUGGAAAUUAUUAUUAGUUGAUGAACAGGAAGAUGAAAUUGGAAAUUGGAGUUGCUGAUCCAUUCUUCGAUUUCACGGUCGAAAUCUUCAUAGCAACAUUUUAAAUAAUUUCUUGGAGCACUAGUUUAAAUUUUCCAAUAUUAUUUCACUAAGCUGAAUCUAGUUGCUACACUUACAUGGAUUAUUAGUUUGGAAAUUAGUUUGUUCUUGAACUUAGUUGAAGUUUAUGCGAAGUAACAUACAAAUUGUGUACCCGAAACAGCAAAAAGAACCAUUUAGCAUUUAUAACAUAUGUAAUUGCUCAUUCAACUUGAUUCCAUCCUUAAUUAAUUCACCAUAAUCUAAUCAUAAUUGCUCAUUGAAUUUGAUUCCAUCCUUAAUUAAUUCACCAUAAUCUAAUCAUAAAUUUACAUAAAUGAGUGAGAUGAGAGAUUUGGUAUAACACUUCACUUAAUCUAGCGAUAUGAUCAAGUUAUAAAUUCUAGCAAAAGAAACUUCAUGUUCAGUUCAUUCCUUUCUUUCUUUGUUUCUUUCUUUCUUUCUUUCUUUCUCUUUUACUCUCUUUAUCGGCUCCAACAUUUACAAAGAUCCAAAUGCUACCUGCAGAAAAACUAAAUGGAGAGAAUAAUGGAGUAAAGCAAGAAAAUUCUGUUACGAUACAAUGGACACAAGGCCCAGGCCCAAUUGUUGAUACGUGGACCCGACCCAAUUUAGUUGCUGAUGUAUAUAUUUUUACAUUUCUUUCCUUUUAUAAGGUCAUGUAUAUAUAUAGAGAGAACUCUCUAGAACAGAGAAGAAUAGAUAUUUUUCAUUUGUGUACCUUUAAAGAUCUGUACCUUUUCUCAUUUC